ACCGGGAGUGGUGGUAUACUCUUGUAAUCCAACUACUCGGAGGUCAGUUGAUGUGGAUGUUUUAAGGGGGAGGGUUUUGGGAUUGAAUUUUCCACGUUGACUAGGCGUCCACUAGGGGUAAAUCUUUGACGUGAAUGCCUUGGGGAAGCCCGAGGUAGCCAGGUUGAGUCCAAAAAAGGGGAAAAUUGGUCGCGAAAAAUCACCGAGUUGAUAGUCGUGGGUUCGAAUCCUGGGAGUGGGAGUUUAAUUUUAUAUCCUACGUAAGGGGAUAAGUGAUUUAGCACCCUU
RNAcentral lists this non-coding RNA (288 nucleotides) under Pediculus humanus corporis (human body louse). Lineage: Eukaryota; Metazoa; Arthropoda; Insecta; Psocodea; Pediculidae. The record is from RNAcentral.